RNAcentral lists this ribosomal RNA (481 nucleotides) under uncultured bacterium. RNAcentral's name for it is "partial 16S ribosomal RNA". It matches the Rfam family "Bacterial small subunit ribosomal RNA", at positions 30 to 507 of the family's 1533-position model. The record is from RNAcentral.
AUUGAACGCUGGCGGCAUGCCUUACACAUGCAAGUCGAACGGUAACAGGUCUUCGGAUGCUGACGAGUGGCGAACGGGUGAGUAAUACAUCGGAACGUGCCCGAUCGUGGGGGAUAACGGAGCGAAAGCUUUGCUAAUACCGCAUACGAUCUACGGAUGAAAGCAGGGGACCGCAAGGCCUUGCGCGGACGGAGCGGCCGAUGGCAGAUUAGGUAGUUGGUGGAUAAAAGCUUACCAAGCCGACGAUCUGUAGCUGGUCUGAGAGGACGACCAGCCACACUGGGACUGAGACACGGCCCAGACUCCUACGGGAGGCAGCAGUGGGGAAUUUUGGACAAUGGGCGAAAGCCUGAUCCAGCCAUGCCGCGUGCAGGAUGAAGGCCUUCGGGUUGUAAACUGCUUUUGUACGGAACGAAAAGACUCUUUCUAAUAAAGAGGGUCCAUGACGGUACCGUAAGAAUAAGCACCGGCUAACUACGUG